CCUACGGGUGGCAGCAGUGGGGGAUAUUGCACAAUGGGCGAAAGCCUGAUGCAGCGACGCCGCGUGAGGGAAGACGGUCUUCGGAUUGUAAACCUCUGUCUUUGGGGAAGAAGAUGACGGUACCCAAAGAGGAAGCUCCGGCUAACUACGUGCCAGCAGCCGCGGUAAUACGUAGGGAGCGAGCGUUGUCCGGAAUUACUGGGUGUAAAGGGAGCGUAGGCGGGGAUGCAAGUUGGAUGUUUAAACUAUCGGCUCAACCGGUAAUGGUAACCAAAACUGCAACUCUUGAGUGAAGUAGAGGCAGGCGGAAUUCCUAGUGUAGCGGUGAAAUGCGUAGAUAUCGCGCAGAACUCCGAUUGCGAAGGCAGCAUGCCGGCUCCACACUGACGCUGAGGCACGAAAGCGUGGGUAUCGAACAGGAUUAGAUACCCGGGUAGUC
This 439-nucleotide ribosomal RNA is filed under the name uncultured bacterium. RNAcentral describes it as "partial 16S ribosomal RNA". It matches the Rfam family "Bacterial small subunit ribosomal RNA", at positions 338 to 795 of the family's 1533-position model. The record is from RNAcentral.